Zingiber officinale is the source of this 1360-nucleotide long non-coding RNA. RefSeq lists it as uncharacterized. The transcript has 3 exons. The record is from RefSeq and is a predicted model, not a curated record. Lineage: Eukaryota; Viridiplantae; Streptophyta; Magnoliopsida; Zingiberales; Zingiberaceae.
CUCACCGUGCCCUAAUCUCACGCCGACCACUCCAUUUCCCUUCCUCCCUCUUGCUCCUUGUCGCCGAGAUCUCACCGCCGCCCCUCACUCUCCUUAUUCUCAUUCGCCACCUCCUCUCCUUUGAUCACCGGAGCUGGAUCUGCCGCCAAGCUCCCGGAGUUGCCCUACCUUGCACGGGCUGCCUUCGGCCAAGAGCAGGAGGUGCCGUCCUCUCAUGUGCGGCACAGUCUUCGUGACCUAGCAUCGUCGAAGCCGCCAACCAUCAGCAACCCGUGGCCGGCAUAGACGCACACCGAGCGUCGAAUCUACCUCUUCCCCGACGCCUCUCACUUCUUCGAUGCCACAAUCCCGAGUUCGCCGGCACUGAUCUUCUCACCGUUGGCUGGACUUGCCAUCUCCACGGAUCGUCGGACGUUUGCUAUGGUUGUCCUUCUCUCUGAGUUGCAGCCCAUGCCUGGCCAUCCGCACCGCCAGAUCGCCGAUUCUCUGUCGCCUCGAAGGGCACCUGAUGCCGCCAUCGUUAUCCCUCUCCGGCCACGAGCAGGAGGCAGUGGGGUUGUGCCCGUGAGCCGAUUUCCCCUCUCCCACACCACUUGAUGCCAUCACCGACGUUGUGCCCUGGUUGUGCUUGCCACAGUGCUGAUCAUCGAUCAUCGAUCAUCGAUGUCAACAUUCCAGGCGGACUGGUCAUCAUCAGUGAGGCUCUUCCACCACCGUGGGUCGUCGUCUGCUCUAAUGUGAGCUUGACCUUGCCUUGUUGCCCCAAUUGGUUCUCUGGUGGACAUGGAGCAGCUCCAUCAGAUCAUUGGUGAGGUUGCUGGAGAUGUUUCUGUGUGUAAUAUGAUCAGGGAUUGUAUUGGUUGAGAUUGAUCUUGGGUCAGAUUUGAAAUUGUUGGAGGAAGCUAAGGUAUGUUAUCUUUAGGUAAUGAAAUGGGUUGAUCCUGUGUUAGAAAUUAGAAUUUAGGAAUUUAUUCAUGAGUUAUAUUAGUUGUCAGAUUGCUAGUUAGAAAUUGAUCUCGUGGAUAAACUAUGUAUGUUGGAUUCAUAAUGGUUAUUUGGUGAAUGAUUUAUAUAGGUGGAUGCAUGAUUAUUAUUAGCAUAUUAUAGAAUUGGUUGUUUAUUGAUGAUUGAUGCCAGGAUUGGAUUGUAAAUGAAUUAAUGGAUUCAUGUUAAGUUGAGAAACUCAAGGAUUAAAUGAUUGGAUUAAUUGGUGAUUUAUGUGUAAACCUAACUUAAUAAGGUUGUAGUAUAAUUAAGGUUGAUUGGGGGAUUACUCAAGGAUCUUGUUUGAUUAGCGUUACCCUAAUUAGAAUAGGGAUUCUGUUUGGUUAUUUACUUCCUAUGUAAUUAGCUAAAUAGA